This 27-nucleotide small RNA is filed under the name Arabidopsis thaliana (thale cress). Its description in RNAcentral is "ATSL228730". The record is from RNAcentral. Lineage: Eukaryota; Viridiplantae; Streptophyta; Magnoliopsida; Brassicales; Brassicaceae.
CUACAUGGUUUAUCAUCAUCAGCUAAA